RNAcentral lists this ribosomal RNA (448 nucleotides) under uncultured bacterium. RNAcentral's name for it is "partial 16S ribosomal RNA". It matches the Rfam family "Bacterial small subunit ribosomal RNA", at positions 338 to 795 of the family's 1533-position model. The record is from RNAcentral.
CCUACGGGUGGCUGCAGUGGGGAAUAUUGGACAAUGGGGGAAACCCUGAUCCAGCAAUGCCGCGUGUGUGAAGAAGGCCUGCGGGUUGUAAAGCACUUUCGGUUGGGAAGAAAAGUUUGGCGCCAAUACCGCCGAACCUUGCCGUUACUGACAGAAGAAGCACCGGCUAACUCUGUGCCAGCAGCCGCGGUAAUACAGAGGGUGCAAGCGUUGAUCAGAAUGAGUAGGCGUACAUGGUGCGUAGGUGGGCAAUCCCCGGGCGUAAACUUGGAACUGCAUUCGAUACUACAUGGCUAGAGUAUGGUAGAGGGAAGUGGAAUUUCCGGUGUAGCGGUGAAAUGCGUAGAUAUCGGAAGGAACACCAAUGGCGAAGGCAGCUUCCUGGACUAAUACUGACACUGAGGCACGAAAGCGUGGGUAGCAAACAGGAUUAGAUACCCCUGUAGUC